AAGGCUAAAUACUCCUGACUGACCGAUAGUGAACCAGUACCGUGAGGGAAAGGCGAAAAGAACCCCGGCGAGGGGAGUGAAAAAGAACCUGAAACCGUGUACGUACAAGCAGUGGGAGCACGCUUAGGCGUGUGACUGCGUACCUUUUGUAUAAUGGGUCAGCGACUUAUAUUCUGUAGCAAGGUUAACCGAAUAGGGGAGCCGAAGGGAAACCGAGUCUUAACUGGGCGUUAAGUUGCAGGGUAUAGACCCGAAACCCGGUGAUCUAGCCAUGGGCAGGUUGAAGGUUGGGUAACACUAACUGGAGGACCGAACCGACUAAUGUUGAAAAAUUAGCGGAUGACUUGUGGCUGGGGGUGAAAGGCCAAUCAAACCGGGAGAUAGCUGGUUCUCCCCGAAAGCUAUUUAGGUAGCGCCUCGUGAAUUCAUCUCCGGGGGUAGAGCACUGUUUCGGCA
Molecule: ribosomal RNA, 456 nt
Filed under: Shigella sonnei
Lineage: Bacteria; Pseudomonadati; Pseudomonadota; Gammaproteobacteria; Enterobacterales; Enterobacteriaceae
Description: partial 23S ribosomal RNA
Rfam family: Bacterial large subunit ribosomal RNA
Source: RNAcentral